UCCUUAGUCUACUUAUAAUGUUUUUUUCCAAAAUUUUUAAUUUUUUGUUGUAUCGAAACUGUAGAUAUUUAUAACAAAACAUUUGUCCAAUCCCUUCAACUUCACUUUAUUUAUAAACCAAAUCACUUUCAGAUAUCGUGUCUCCAAGGACGACUCGCAUCGUUCAAGAACUGAAAGCUUACGACUUACAUCAAGUAGCCCCGUACCAAAUGGAUUUAACCACGCAUAAUCUGUACAGAGUGAAAACA
Long non-coding RNA from Rhagoletis zephyria (snowberry fruit fly), 248 nucleotides. RefSeq lists it as uncharacterized. Lineage: Eukaryota; Metazoa; Arthropoda; Insecta; Diptera; Tephritidae. The record is from RefSeq and is a predicted model, not a curated record.